RNAcentral lists this unclassified non-coding RNA (282 nucleotides) under Hevea brasiliensis (rubber tree). Lineage: Eukaryota; Viridiplantae; Streptophyta; Magnoliopsida; Malpighiales; Euphorbiaceae. The record is from RNAcentral.
GUGAUUUAGCUUAAACUACGGAGUGCGAAGUGCGAACUACGAAAGCUGAAUGCCCAAGCUCUAGACUAUAAAAACAUCUCUCUCUGUAAGCAGUACCUUUGGGCUUUCAGAGCUCGAGUUCCGAUUCCAUCAAGUACAAUCCUCACGGUCGUGGCAAUUUCCAGCGCUCUUCUGCUAAUGAAAGUCCCCUAAUCCCUUCCCAAGUUCUCAAUCGAUGAAAUUUUCGAGCAGGAGAAGGGCUAUCUUUACCCGCUGUUGAUUAUUCUCCGAGAACCCUCACCC